Long non-coding RNA from Musa acuminata AAA Group (dessert banana), 1278 nucleotides. RefSeq lists it as uncharacterized. The record is from RefSeq and is a predicted model, not a curated record. Lineage: Eukaryota; Viridiplantae; Streptophyta; Magnoliopsida; Zingiberales; Musaceae. The transcript is spliced from 2 exons.
AACAACAAAUUUAUGUGAAAACAUUAUGUUGAGAGAAGAAUAAUGGAAUUAGUCUAGUUCUCAUGAAAUAUCAAGCAGUCUAAAGGUGGAUGAUGACAAUCUUGAGAAAGAAAAAUCCAAAGGAAUGAUAACUCCAUGAUCUUGCUAACAGAACUUCCUACAUAAUAUUUAUUUACACAAAGGCAAUUAAACAGCAAAAAACAUAUGGAUUGUGCCACAAGAGACUGUAAGAAUCAAUUCCAAAGUCCAUCAAACACAUUCCAAACAUAUGCAAUUCUCAUCCAACCUUUGUUUCUUUCCUCUAUACUGAUGAUUUCCUCUGCGAAACUUCUUACUUUCUGAUAAACAAAGACCCUCUCAAAUUGAUUUCAGACUAAAAAGGAAAACCUUUGAUAUCUCUGAAUCAUAAGAUUGAAAUAAGGACUCAUUUGCAUCCCCUUGAUUCUCAAACUCACACUAAUGACAUUAAUAGCACAAGAUCGAUCACUAGCGGUCAGUUCGCUACCUCCAAGGAAAGAUAAAGAUGAUGCUCCUAUUAUUCUCGCUAUCGUGAUAUCUGAAACCCCUUUAGCUUUGAGCCGUAGACUGGAUUGUAGUACUUUAUAGGAGAAGCAUCCAUGUACAAAGAAUUGGGUUCUUUUACCACCAAUAGACUCUUUUAGCUUUUGUUCCUUGCUAGAAUUGUGACCUGAACUCAUCCAACAUUUGUAUCAGUUAUCAAGUGGCACACAAGUUAUAACAUUUACUGAUGUUCCGUGGAACAACUCUCUUGUCAGGAACAUGGAGUUUGGAUCAUCUAUAUAUACUUGAGAUGGGUGGAGAUAGCAGUUUCAGCUGAACUUGGAAGCACCUUCAUGUCCACCAUGCGAAGGCCGAUGAUUGCAAAAUCGACUAGACUAAUUCGGGAGGUAAAGAAUGGGCAAGCAAGACUGGGGAAGCAACAGCAUGGAGCAGUAAAUGAUGCAUCAUGGUGGAUUCCUCAUCCAAGGACAGGGAUAUACUACCCCAAGGGGCAUGAAUGGGUGAUGGAAGAUGUGCCUGAGGGUGCUUCCUCCUUCCCAAGAACCUACUGGCUUAGGAGCUCUGAAGGGGUGGAGAAAGACUCUGAUCUCUCCACCUGCCCCGACUACAAUCACCCAUUCCUUGACGUAUGAGGAGCUUAGUAUCAUAGAACUAGCAGCAGUAACAACAGCAACAGUGUUCUACUUGCGGAGAAAUAAAGACUUCAAUAGCGUGUUGUCUCACAAUUGCUAUCGAGGAAUGAAUUUAUCUACUGAA